UUGACAGACAGACAGAUGGGCUGGGAUUGUAGCUCAACGUUUCCUGGGUUCAGUACUGCCAGUACUGCCAGUGUUCUUUCAAGCCUAAUCAAAUCACGUGGCAUUUUUUUAAAGCCAAAAAAUGUAUUCUGGGCUGGUUCCAGGAGAGGUAAAAGCCACAGAAACAUGCUGCUGGCCCAGGAGACAGCGAGCAUUUCUUUGUGCACUGUGUAUGGAGACAGACGGUGGCCUCCAGACAUGGAAAACUGUCCUUCAGUCACAGCUGGCAGGGAACAGGAGGCCAGUGCUGCAACUGCAGGAAGCAAACGCUGCCAAACCAGAUCAGAGUGCUGGCCGACACCUGUGUUUCUGCCCUGAGAUCCAGAGCAAAGUCCGGCCCUGCAGUGCCUACACAGACGUCACAGAAGUGUUGACUGUUGUUUUAAUCCAUGGAAUAGGUGGUGUUUUGUUGCAAAGCUGAUAACAAGAUUUUCUCAGUGGCAGCAUCUAUUACCCCUACUGAAAAAAAACAGUGUAACUUUCACUCCCUCUUUCUUAGGAGAAUAUUCAUAUCUCCGGUGGGAAGAAAGUGAUGUCAUAUUGACUGGUCCUAAAGAGGCUGAAGAUUCCAAGUGAUCUAGGGCAGGAAAGAGGAGGAGUACAUCAGAAAGGCCAGGUUGCAGAUCCCUCGCACCCUUGGGUUCUCUGCUGGCACUUCGAGGACAUGAUCUGCAGAAGGCACUGCUCAGACCCUGGGGCCCUGUUGAAAUAGGAGUCUCGGUGCUGCUGGACUUGUGGACCUGUCCUUCCCUUCCUUUCCUCCCUCUCCUGAAAGCCUGAGGGUGGUGCGCUUUUGCUGAGUAUGAAGUGCAACCUAAAAUGUACUCAGGUGAAACGUUCACAUCAAGAGUUAACGUGCUAAAUAACUUUAGGGGCUAAGCCAAUAGAAUCAUCUUUUCAUCCAGUUCAUGAAACCUGACUUCUAAAUAUAAGUCCUCUUUACUGUCAACAACUUAAUCCAGUGUAAAGGAGGCACGCAGGUUUUUACUGGGGUUAAAGAUCCACACCACUUUCUGGCUUUUGUGCUGUGCUAGGCUCAGGGUCAAGGUAACUUUUGCUGCCUGUGAGUAGGGCAUGUUUGUGACAUUCCACAAACUGGAAGGGAAUUGUUGAAAGGCAGUUAGUCUGGCUGUCCCCCUGUCUGUCUUCCUCCACGUCCUCUGCUUAACAGCAUAGAGUCAUGGCUGCACACUAUACUCAUCACCUUUUCAUUGUGUGCCUGAAUACCUGAGAAAAACAACCUCAGGGUGGAAAGAUAAUUGGUUGGCUCAUGGUUUCAGAGGUUUUGGGCCAUGGUCAGUUGGCUCUGCUGAUUUUAGGCCCAUAACAAGGCCGCAACAUCACUGCAAAAGGGCAUGGAGUAAGGAAGCUGCUCACCCCAUGGUUGCUAGGAAGCAAGAAGAAAAGAAAAAAGCCCGAGUUAGUGACUUUUCUCCUUCUUCCAAUUCCGUUCCAUCUGGGCCCCCACCUCAUUGAAUGGUGCUGCCCACACGCAGGGCUAUCUCACCUCUCAGCUGUACUGUCCCGCAUGCCAGUUUAUCUGGAGACAUCUGCACAACAAUCCAGAAGUGUGCUUUUCUAGUUCCCGAGGCAUUUUUUUCUAUCCACUCAAUCUGACAAACAAAAUGAUCUCAUGGGUGACUCUGUGGUUCCUUUUCUUCUGGUGUUGACAGUUUAAGUGAUGGCUUGUGAAUCCGGUUACAUGUGCUGUGUUUGGAUCUGGCUUGCAUGUGUCCUACAAAGGUUUCUGUGUUGGAAGCUUGGUCUUCAGUGUGGCCAAGGUUGGGGGGUCAUGGAAACUUUAAGAGGUACAGCCCAGUGCAAGGUAAUUACAUCACCGGAAGCACUGCCUUUAGGAGGGAUUUGUGUCGUUCUGGAACCGCAGUUGUCUCUCCCAAGAACGAGUUGAUAUAAAGAGAAAACCCAGCCCCUAAUUUCUCUGGCUUCCUGUUUCGCCAUGGGAUCUCAUACACACAUCUCUGAUAUAGUGAUGCUGUUAAUCAUCUAGCUCCUCCUAGACCUGGUGAUGGUGUCUAGACUACAAGCAAAAUAAACUUCUUUUCUUUUUACACUAUCCAGCAGCAGCAAGCAUUUUGGUAUAGCAACAGAAAACACAUCAAGACACAGAAAAAUGAUCAACGUGGGCCAUUUGACUUGUUUCCAGUUGAGGCACUCUGGAUUUUAUUAGCUUCAGAAAAAGGAGCCUUCCUAUGGAGUCUGGGCCUAUUGACAAUUCAACUUCAGUGUUUGAAUCAGAGCUUCAGUGUCUAAGAAAAUUUUCCCGGCCUAUUUUGCCUUCUUUGAUAUGGUGAAUAAAUGAUCAAAUGAAUGGAAGAAUUAGUAUUAAAAUAAAUCAUAA
Fukomys damarensis (Damara mole-rat) is the source of this 2398-nucleotide long non-coding RNA. RefSeq lists it as uncharacterized. The record is from RefSeq and is a predicted model, not a curated record. The transcript has 3 exons. NCBI's taxonomy places the organism in Eukaryota, Metazoa, Chordata, Mammalia, Rodentia, Bathyergidae.